RNAcentral lists this ribosomal RNA (1926 nucleotides) under Paramoeba aestuarina. RNAcentral describes it as "partial Bacterial large subunit ribosomal RNA". It matches the Rfam family "Bacterial large subunit ribosomal RNA", at positions 632 to 2629 of the family's 2925-position model. Lineage: Eukaryota; Discosea; Flabellinia; Dactylopodida; Paramoebidae. The record is from RNAcentral.
UCUAGCAAGCAAGCUUAAGCCGUUAGGUGUAGGCGCAGCGAAAGCGAGUCUUAAUAGGGCGCAUGAGUUCGUGGGAUCAGACCCGAAACCGAGUGAUCUAGGCAUGACCAGGAUGAAGGUGCGGUAACACGCACUGGAGGUCCGAACCCACACCUGUUGAAAAAGGUCGGGAUGAGUUGUGCCUAGGGGUGAAAGGCCAAUCAAACUCGGAGAUAGCUGGUUCUCUGCGAAAUCUAUUUAGGUAGAGCGUCAGACGAAUACCUUCGGGGGUAGAGCACUGAAUGGGCUAGGGGGCCUUACCGGCUUACCAAACCUAAUCAAACUCCGAAUACCGAAGAGUACUAUCUGGCAGACAGACUACGGGUGCUAAGGUCCGUGGUCGAGAGGGAAACAGCCCAGACCGCCAGUUAAGGUCCCAAAGUUGUGGCUAAGUGGGAAAGGAUGUAGGACGGCCAAGACAACCAGGACGUUGGCUUAGAAGCAGCCAUCGUUUAAAGAAAGCGUAACAGCUCACAAUUUAUAGUAAUCUUAAUUCAAAAAUGUAAAGAAAAUUAAAUUAUAUACCGAAGCUAUAAAAUUUAGUUAAUAGAAAAUUAAAUUGGUAGUAGAACGCUUUAUAUUAUUUUAUAUGAUUGAGAAAUCACAGAAUUAAAGUUGAAUAUACUGGCAUAAGUAGCGAGAGUAAUGUUAUUUAGAAACAUUACCAUCUAAUAUCUAAGGUUUCUAAUGUAAAGAUAAACUGCAUUAGGUUAAUCGGCCCCUAAAAUGUAUAUGAUAAUAAUAAUUGAUGGGUAAAUAAAUUAAUAUUUUUAUUUUAUUAUUAAUAGGUGACAAAUAAUUUUAUUUAGGAAUAGUAAUGCAUUAAAUAUAUUCUUAUUAUAAUUAUUUCUAGAAAUAGCAUUAAUAAAAAACUUUUAGGAAAACCGUACUAAAACCAACACAGGUAGAUUAGUAGAGUAUACUAAGAUGGUUAAUAUAAUAAUACUGAAGGAACUCGGCAAAAUAACUCUGUAACUUCGGGAGAAAGAGUACUUUUUUUAAUAAUUAAAGUUAAAAUAAAGUGUAACAGAAUAGGAGAUGGCGACUGUUUAUCAAAAACAUAGGACUUUGCAAAAUUUUUUUAUGAUGUAUAAGGUCUGACGCCUGCCCAGUGCUAUAAAGGUAAUAGAGAUUGUUUAAAAUUUAUUUUAAGCUUUUGAUUGAAUUAGUAGUAAACGGCAGCUGUAAAUAUAACGGUUCUAAGGUAGCGAAAUUCCUUGUCGAGUAAGUUUCGACCUUGCAUGAAUGGCGUAACGACUAUCUCACUGUCUCCAGUAUUAUAUUAGCGAAAUUGAAUUUUCUGUGCAGAUGCAGAGUAUUAGCGGCUAGACGAAAAGACCCUAUGCACCUUUACUACAUUUAUACUUUGUUUAUUUAUUUUAAAUUUAUAGGAUAUAAAUUAAUCGUUUGUAAUAAUUUUAUUACAUGAAAAUCUUAUUAUAUAUUUAUAAUAAUUAUUUAGGUGAUCUUGGAAUAAUUUAAUUUUAAAAUAAAAAACUUAAUAUUUAAGAUUUAGUAUAUUUGGUAGUUUCUCUGGGGCGGAGACCUCAUAAAAAGUAACUGAGGUGUACAAAGGCAAUUAAAACUUUUCAAGUUAGGGCGUGUAAUGGCUAAAAAUUGCUUAACUGUAAGACUAACAAGUCAAACAGAGAUUAUUUUAAAGUCGGUCAUAGUGAUCCAAUAUUUUUUAAUGGAAAAAAUAUUGCUCAACGGAUAAAAGGUACGCUAGGGAUAACAGGCUUAUGACUCCUGAGAGAAGAUAUCGACGGGGUCGUUUGGCACCUCGAUGUCGAUUGGUCACAUCCUGGUUAGGAAGAAUGUUCCAAGGGUAAGGCUGUUCGCCUUUUAAAGUGGCACCUGAAUUGGGUUCAGAACGUCGUGAGACAG